GCCUGGCUAGCUCAAUCGGUAGAGCGUUUGACUCUUAACAAAAAGAGUAAGCGAUCAAAAGGUUGCGGGUUCGACCCCCGCGUCGGGCU
The sequence is a transfer RNA, 89 nucleotides long. It matches the Rfam family "tRNA". Rfam says of the family: Transfer RNA (tRNA) molecules are approximately 80 nucleotides in length. Their secondary structure includes four short double-helical elements and three loops (D, anti-codon, and T loops). The record is from Rfam.